UACAGAGGGUGGCAAACGUUUGCUCGGAAUUUUAUUGGGCGUAAAGCGCGUGUAGGCGGCUUUGUUUAAGUCGGUUUGUGAAAAACCCAUGGGCUCAACCCAUGGAAGCGCGUCCGAAAACUGGCAGCUGGAGUCCCGACGAGGGUGGCGGAAUUCCCAGUGUAGAGGUGAAAUUCGUAGAUAUUGGGAGGAACACCGGUGGCGAAGGCGGCCACCUGGGAGGGUACUGACGCUGAGAGCGAAAAGCGUGGGGGAGCAAAACAGGG
This 266-nucleotide ribosomal RNA is filed under the name uncultured bacterium. Its description in RNAcentral is "partial 16S ribosomal RNA". It matches the Rfam family "Bacterial small subunit ribosomal RNA", at positions 524 to 777 of the family's 1533-position model. The record is from RNAcentral.